RNAcentral lists this ribosomal RNA (254 nucleotides) under uncultured bacterium. RNAcentral describes it as "partial 16S ribosomal RNA". It matches the Rfam family "Bacterial small subunit ribosomal RNA", at positions 524 to 776 of the family's 1533-position model. The record is from RNAcentral.
UACGGGGGGAGCAAGCGUUGUUCGGAUUUACUGGGCGUAAAGGGCGCGUAGGCGGCCACCGCAAGUCGACUGUGAAAUCUCCGGGCUUAACCCGGAAAGGUCAGCCGAUACUGCGGGGCUAGAGUGCAGAAGGGGCAACUGGAAUUCUCGGUGUAGCGGUGAAAUGCGUAGAUAUCGGGAGGAACACCAGUGGCGAAGGCGGCUUUCUGGUCUGCUCUUGACGCUGAGGCGCGAAAGCUAGGGUAGCAAACAGG